AGAGUUUGGAUCCUGGCUCAGGAUGAACGCUAGCGGGAGGCCUAACACAUGCAAGUCGAACGGGAUUGGGAGCUUGCUCCCAUGAGAGUGGCGCACGGGUGAGUAACGCGUAUGCAACCUACCUUUAACAGAGGGAUAGCCCAUAGAAAUGUGGAUUAAUACCUUAUAGUUCUUUUUUCUCGCAUAAGGGGGAAGAUAAAGCAUUAGCGGUUAAAGAUGGGCAUGCGUGACAUUAGCUAGUUGGUGAGGUAACGGCUCACCAAGGCGACGAUGUCUAGGGGUUCUGAGAGGAUGAUCCCCCACACUGGUACUGAGACACGGACCAGACUCCUACGGGAGGCAGCAGUGAGGAAUAUUGGUCAAUGGGCGCAAGCCUGAACCAGCCAUCCCGCGUGCAGGAUGAAGGCCCUAUGGGUCGUAAACUGCUUUUAUACGCCAAGAAAAACACAGACGAGUCUGUGCCUGACGGUAGUGUAUGAAUAAGCAUCGGCUAACCCCGUGCCAGCAGCCGCGGUAAUACGGAGGAUGCAAGCGUUAUCCGGAUUCAUUGGGUUUAAAGGGUGCGUAGGCGGCUUUUUAAGUCAGUGGUGAAAUCUUGCCGCUUAACGGUAAAAUUGCCAUUGAUACUGAGGAGCU
Molecule: ribosomal RNA, 636 nt
Filed under: uncultured bacterium
Lineage: Bacteria
Description: bacterial SSU rRNA
Rfam family: Bacterial small subunit ribosomal RNA
Source: RNAcentral